AAUUUUCUUUAAAAAAGAUAAAAUACUUUUAACAUUCAGAUAUUAUUGCAUAGGUCUUGUAUCUCACAAUAUAACACAAUUACAUUAAAAAAAUUAACUAAAUAUUUCUUAGAAAAGUCUAAUCAAUUCCAAGUGAUAUUCCAUUAUCUUCAAUUACUAAAACUCAAGAAGAUCUCUUGGAGGGAGGACUUAGUGGCCGAUCCAUAAACUUU
RNAcentral lists this long non-coding RNA (212 nucleotides) under Lathyrus oleraceus (garden pea). RNAcentral describes it as "Pisum sativum (pea) long non-coding RNA (PSAT_LNC022317)". The record is from RNAcentral. Lineage: Eukaryota; Viridiplantae; Streptophyta; Magnoliopsida; Fabales; Fabaceae.